ACUCGAAUCUUGAGGAUAAGGUGCUCAUUGAGGACGAGAGUAUUGUUCAGCCCAAUAUCACACAGGUAACUAUUAGGCUGAGAAAGUUAUUGGGCCGAAAACAAGCAAUAGGGCCAAGUUGAUUUGGGAUCCAAGUUGAGUAUUGGCGCAAAGAAGGUUUUGUUAAAAAGGGAUAAUGGUUGGUUAUUUUGGAGAUUAUGCAUAUUGUUGAGAAAAGUGUUUGCUUCUCCUCGUCUCUCAUUCUCAUCCCCUUUUUCUAUCUAUCCCUAGUUACUUUAAUUCCUGUAAUUUCUCACUGUAAUUUGGUAGUUUGAGGAUUGAAUUGUUAUCCAAAUAUGUAAUGGAGUUCUAGUUCAUAUUGAUAUAGUAAGGAGUUUGUCUAUUUGUUACACUUGGUGAUAUGCGGACGACGGCAUUCCUAUAUGAAUAGGAGUCCUUGACUUUGGAUGGCCACGUAAAGAAUUGCUAUGUCAAAUGAAACUUUUUUUAGUACAAUGAAUGGAAAAAAGUUUACAUUGUGUAUACUUAAUGCAAAGAAUUGAAUUUAAAGUGGAGAAAAGUUUCAUGAAUACUUUGUCUUACGUGAUGACUAAUGGUUUGGUCAUUGUGUGUAAAGAGUAACAAAGAAAUUCUUUUCUUAGCUCGAGGAAAGUAAAGAGUCAAUGUGGGAUAAUUUUAAGAAGACAAAUAUGUCUGUUGCGUGUACUUCAAGCCUAAUCUUUGACUCUCAAUUAGUCUAUAUUCAGAUAAGUUUUGAAGUAGGGGAUAUUUAUAGGCAUCUAAAUUUUAUUGGAUUUAAAUCCAUAAAGUUAUUUGUACUAUAUCUUUUAAUAUAAAAUAUAUUAGUUCAAAUAAAUUCAAUGGGCUAAUAUAAUUGAAUUAAUUGUAUAAGUCCAAUAUAUAUGAAUUAAAUAAAUAAGUCUUAAUCCAUUGGGCUAGUCUAUUUAGUUGGGCUACAGAUGAUGAGCGUACUUCACUAGGCCCAAUAUGCCAUCUUCUUAGAGGCCCAGUUGAGUGACACGUGUCGGAUGACGUGGCACGCCAAGUCAAAUAGAAGAGUCAAUGUGAUCAUGCCACAUGUCAAAAUGACAAGGCAUGCCAAGUCAAAUUAAAAGGCCAAUGAAACCGCGUCACGUGUGCAACUUGUCACGACCCAAAGUCCGUUAAAGGUCGUGAUGUCACCGGACACCACUGUCAAGCAAGCCAACACUAAAUAGUUAAUUAAAUUCUCAUUUAAAUAUUUUUGAAAUCAUAAAUUUUCCUUCGAUUUAACUAGUUAAAGAUGAAAUUUACAGAAUAAAUAAUAAUGUUUUUCCAAAUUUCAAUACUAAAUAUCUCAUAAUCAUCCCAGAACCCGGUGUCACAAGUGCAUGAGCAUUUACUAGAAAAUAAAAUACAACAACUAUCUGGAAUAAAAAUUUGGGACAGAAAGAAAAUACAAAUACUCUGAAGGAGACCCUACUGGUUGCGGAUCGUAGCAUGAGAUGCAACUCAUCUAAGUCCCCGUGUCAACCAUGUUGCUACGCCUACAAAGCCACUAGCCAUACAGGUGCCUGUACAAUAAAAUGUACAACAAGUGUAGUAUAAGUACGAACACAACGCAUACCCAGUAAGCAUCUAGUCUAAUCUCGAAAAAGAAGUGACGAGAGGUCGACUCCGACACUUUCUAUGUCCAGCAAUAAUAUACCGAUAAUAUAGUUAAUCCUGAAUUUUAUAAGAUAACUGUAAAUUCAAUAGCAUGAAGCAGAUAAACAAUUCUUUUGUUAAUAGGGUAUUUUUCAAAUUUAUUUUCAUCUUUUAAUAAUUUACAUCUCCGGCCAACGAGGCCACAUCAAUUAUAAAUUAUUCCAAAACAAUCAAUUAAGUCAUGCGCAAUUCAUGCAGAGGUCGUACAACCCGUUCCAAUAUAAUAUUUAAAUUGUGCAUUGCCGGAGGGUCGAAUGGAGCGAACCAUAGAUGCAUCUAUUUAAUCUGCCGAGGCGUUCGGCCCGUUCCACAAAAGGAAAAUACAUUCAAAAAGUAAAUCAAGAAUUCGUCAAGGAGCAAUUAUCCGAGAAAAUGGCAAUCAACCUUUAACGGUCAAGAAAAUAAAGUUUAACCUUUUAGAAAUUCAUUUACCAAGUUCGAUAUGAUUUAAGCAAUUUAAAUUGACAAUAAAGUUAUAAAUAUCGCAAGUAUAGCAUGCUUUUGGGUAUUAGUCUACCAUGAAUUAAGCAUAAUAGUAGCUACGCACGGACUCUCGUCACCUCGUGCGUACGUAGCCCCCCACAAAUAGAAGCACAUAUUGAUUUAGUUCACCUACAGAAUUAAUUCCCUCUUACAAGGUUAGAAAAGAGAAUUACUUCGCUCCAAAGUUCCUUAACCAGCUCCCAAAUCAUUCAAUCAACUCAAAUCGAUGCCCAACGCUCCCAAACUAGUCAAAAAAUGAGCAAAUCCAUAAAUAUAUACUCUUAUACUCACACAAUUUAAUUUAAAGAAGUUCCCAAUUCUACUCGAAAAGUUAAUAAAAUCACCCUUUGGCUCAUGUGGGAUUUCGAAAAUUUUCAGAGAUAAACUUUACCCGUAACCUCAUGAACUCAUAUAUAUAAUUUAUUCUCAAUUUCAUGCCCAAAUUCGUGGUCAAAAUCCAAAAAUACCAAUUUCUAGGUUUCUCUUCAAAAUCCCAAUUUCUCAUGAUUUUUUAUGUUUAAAUACUUAUACAAACCAUGUAUUUAACUUAUAAUAAGUGGGAAUCACUUACCUUGACAUAGAUGAUGAAAACCUCCCUUCUAAGAGCUCCAAAAAUUGCCCAACCAAAUGAAAAAUGGAGGAAUGAUGGCCAAAUCCCGUCUUUAAAACAAUCUGCCCAGGCCAAACCCCCUUCUUCGCAUUCAUGAUCAAAGCCUCACAUUGGCAAAGUAUACAGACACAACUUCUUCGCGUUCGCGGCUGAAGCUCCGCGUUCGCGAAGGCCAAACUACUCCAGGCUCCCACUCCACUUCCUUCUUCGCGUUCGCGACCCCUGUGUCGCCUUCAUGUAUGCUUCCUUGGGCAACCCUCCACGUUCGUGACCUCCGCCUCGUGUUCGCGAAGUCCAAAACCCCAGCUACCUCGAAUUCCUCUUCGCGAACGCGGGACACCCUUCGCAUUCGCGAUGUAGGAAACCAGAUAGCAACAACAACAGUCCAAAACAGCCAAAUAUUAUCUGGAACCAUCCCGAAACACAUCCGAGUCCCCCGAGACCCUGUCUUAUCACACAAACCAGUCCUAUAAUAUAACACGGACCUGCUCGAGGCCUCAGAUCACAUCAAACAACAUUAAAAUCAUCACUCACACCCAAUUCGAGCUUAAUGGACUUUAGAACUUCAAACUUCUAUAUUCGAUGCCAAAACCUAUCAAAUCACGUCCGAUUUACUUCAAAUUUUGCACACAAGUCAUAUUCGACGUUACAGACGUACUCCAACUUCCGGAAUCAGAAUUCGACCACGAUAUCAAAAAGUAUACUUCCGGUCAAACCUCUCAAAAACCUUUAAAUUUUUAACUUUCGCCAAAUGACUCCAAAAUGACUUACGGACCUCCAAAUCCAUAUCUAGACAUGCUCCUAGUACCUGAAUUACCAUACGGAGCUAUUCCUAGACUCGGAAUCCAAAACGGACAUCAAAAACAUUGAAAUGCACUUCAACCCAAGUUUAUGAAAUUCUUCUGAAAUGUUAACUCCCACAAUAGGCGCCGAAACACUCCCGAGUCAUUCAAAACCCGAUCCGGACUUACGCCCAAGUCCAAAAUCAUCACACGAACCUGUUGGAACCUUCAAAUCCCAAUUCCGAGUUCGUUUAAUCAAAAUCAAUCCUUAGUCAAUUCUUCCAACUUAAGGCUUCCGAAAUGAGAAUUUUCUUUCCGAAUCAACUCUGAAUUUCCGAAAUUCCAAUUCCGACCACGCGUACAAGUCAUAAUACCCGAAGUGAAGCUGCUCAUGACCUCAAACCACCAAAUGACAUGCUAGAGCUCAAAAAACCACUCAUGUUGUUAUAUUUUCUCCCACUUAAACAUACGUUCGUCCUCGAACGUGCUAAGGACUACUCUGGAAUUGUCUGAAAUCACUGUUUAACACCUUUUGCAACUACCCAUGCUACCACAACUCAGUUGAGCACAUUUGCUCGAGCAAAUAUGAAGAUUACCCUUUUUCUUAGUCAAAUAAGCCUUGGAGCCAGAUUUCAACAUCCGGAAUUUUCCACUAGGCUUGUUUCCAUCAUACGAACACCAUAUCAAUCUCUAUGCGAUGUACCAAUACAUGAUUGCAUACCUUUGCUGAAUCCAGACUAUGCACUGCAUAACUUACAUGACCUUAAUAACAUCCUCUGAUAACAAUAGCUGAAAUUUCACGAACCCAAUGCUCACAAUGCACCUCAUGACAUAUAUAAGUCUUGUUUCAAGUUUUGCAAUACCUCCACAACGGAAGAGGUGUGUACAAAUUUAUAACCAACUGUCAAGUUAACAAAUCAUUGAAUCUCUCCUCUUGAGUAGAAUAAUCACCUUAUUAUGAACCAAAUAAUGGUAUUUACUCUUUAAUAUGCUUCAUAUAAUCUGAUCGCACUAAUCCCAUAUCCAAUAAUCUCAUGUCACCUAGUACGAGCUGCUCAGGCAAUAAGCCACUUCUGACACAACCAAAAGUCUCAUAUGAUGUCACAUUGUGCCAACAAGCUACUAACUCGAAUGUGAUACAUAAGGGAAACGAACUCUGGAAAGGACUACUCAACUCGCGUAACUAAUUAGAUAACCGAAAAGGUGUUACGAACCUUCCUCAGAAAAUGGAAAACAAAAAACACAAGAAGAUAUAUAAGACUGUACUCAAAAUCACACUAUUGUGGCGCGCAACGCCGAUCCACACAUAAUACCAUUACGGUAUGCAACCCGAUCCAAACAACAUACUCAUGGCGGCGUACCACCCAAGCCACACAUAAAAUCUAUAUAAGGAGAUACUUACCGAGCUAGAAUGCUCAUUACUACAAAAUAUCCGAAUAUCGGCCACAAGCACGCCAAAUGCAUAAUACCAUCUCUGGGGGACAGCUAGCGCCAUACGCUACAAAACUCAAGCACAGCUAAGGUACGAUAUGUUAUCUGCAUCUCGAGAGCCAUCCUGCUCACAUAACACCAUCGCUACGCGGAACCUCAACACAUAUCCAAUUAAUUAAGCCGUUUCACAACCCAAAUGGCACAAUAUGGCUUGACAUGAAAUAGUCGACGAUGAAAUAACAUCCAACGUCUGAAUACUCCUCCAUAAGGAGCGCUAUGUUAAAAUGAACACAUCCGGCUUGAUAUGGAGCCACAUUCACAUUUAGAUCCACCCACGGACCUCAAGCCGAUUCUGAUUUCACCGCACUAGGCUAUUGACUCAAACCAUCUAAGUCCUUCCUCACUCAUCCGAGCUCGUGAUGUUCUUGACAAUACCAAUGAUAACCUUGAUCUUCAACUUCCAAUUCCCAUGUCGCUCACUGCGCCCAACAUGCCAAUACGCGACAAUAUAAGAAUUUCACCAUAACUCCUAGACCACUAGUAGAAUAAACUCUUCCUCAUAUAGAAAUCUUUUACUUAGCUCAUCUUAGAAGAACAAUGCAACAUGCAACUGAAUUCCCAUAACCGUAGAAAAUACAAUCCUCAAGUAGUGGUCUAAACCCCCAUGACGUUUUUGGAACCUAUUUACUCAACCUAGCCCUUAAAACCAAAUAUCUCCCAAAUCAAUCAAAUUAUGGUAGAUGUCAAGCCUCGCACGUACUGCCACAAAUGAUAUAUAUAACUAAACACGCUAAACGAAUUGAUCACGGCCACAAUCAUGUCGAUUCAACCAUUACUAGCUGACACGUCUUUUCCCAAUUUAUUCUUAACUUGCCUUAGAAAUAAUAAUAGCUCCAUUCAAAAAAUAACGAACCCAAAUUCGCACUCAUCCUGAGUGACCUUAUUUCACGAGACCACGUUGUCUCAAAACCCACAAACUAUCUCAUGCCUAUAUUCGCAGCUUCAACUGGUACACCCAUUCUGAUAAUUCCUCUAUAAAUCCGAAGUUAUUUUCUCCCAUUUCUCCAAUGCCACACUGCAGACCGAGGAUAACAUAGAACACCCCAAGCCCCUUUUUUCAUAAUCCGCUGUAAAAUCUCGUUACUUAACCAUACUACGGACUUGAAAUCCUUAGGCACGGUACUUUAACUCUAGAAUCCAUUAGGGCUGUUGUUUCCGAAUAUAAUCAAACUCCAAGACUAUGCUAGCACAUGAGUACCCUCUCAAAGAAGCACUCGGUUGAAUCACUUUCCUUGUAAAUAACCUCUAUGUGAAACAUAAAUCCUAAAUCUUCCCAAAGCAUGGACAUGAAUCGAUAAGGCCAAUUAUAGCAUACAUUCCUCAAAUCCUUUGCUCAAAUCACCACUAAUGUCUUCUUUCCUUAGUCGCAAUAACCCAUUAUGCCGAUAACCAAGAACCUCACAAGUAGACAACCAUGAAAUCCAAUAUAGGCGAUGGGGAUCUCCCACUUAGCUUAAGGCUACCAUUACAUAACCCUAGAACCCACCAAGAUUCCUUUUUCCUCAUUGACAUGAUCUUGCACAACCAACCAACAAAUUUCUCGAAAUCUUUCCAUUAAACAUUUUAUAAACUCUCUAAAUCACUAGCCACAUUUACAUAUUCGACCUCUUACCGGAUGGCCAGUAGAAUUCUUCAUAAAAGCUUCGUCAAUACUACGCGAUCGCCAGCCUACUCACAGAAGAUAACCCGCAUGUGGAAAUUACAUGCCGACAUCUUCCAAUGUCGUCGCAGUAGGUACAAAUAUUAUGAAAUCAAUAACCCAUCCUGAGCCCGUGCUCAUUCACCAGCUGUACAAGUCCAUUCACUCCUUAUGGACAUCAAAUAAAAGCGCGACAAUACCUUCAAAUCCAAAUUCAUGUUGUAUCCAAUCACCCGCGUAUAAUAGCCAAUAUUUCAAAUUAAGUCCGUAGACCCAGUCACCGUCCACUAUAAAUCCCAAAUCACUCUAAACUUUCUUCAAGGCGUGUAGUUAUCCUACCACUGAACCCAUAUGCUACUCUGCCAAUCUCCUACUUUGGUCAAACUUUGUCCUUUAAGCAACUACUCGACUUCUGCUUCUUACACCUGGCCUUCUAGAAAUUUAACCAUCAUAUGACACUUCCCACAUGUCCUUCCUUAUCCUUCACUACCCAAUUGUUGCCUUAAAUCAUACAUCCAUCUCUGUAGCACUUGAAUCAAUAGGUCGCUACCAACUUUAGACCCUUCCAACGAUUAUCUUUCUCGAGCCACCAAUACUAGGAACACCAAAUCGAUCCUGAACAACUGCACACUGCGAUCUCUAACAACCACUUCCCCUGCACCAUUUCGCAAUACUCUUCCUCAUAGGUGAAUUGAAGGAGACCAUAACACCGGCGAACUUCACACAUUUAAACAAGGAUGACGACACCUCGUCACAGAUAAAAAUUCCACCACGCUCGAACAUACUAAGUCUCGUUACUCCAUCAACCCAAACUUGAACAUUCAUAGUUCGAUUGCCAUUUCUCCACCAGAAAUAAAAUACCGAAUCUCUGAAUCUUGCAUUGAGUAAACAUCCUUCCAAGUCAUUUACUACUUCAACGCAUAGACGAGCAUCCUAAGCAUCCUACUAUUAUACGAAUACUGUGCGAUAGCAAUGCACGAAUCGUCAUAACAAUCAAUGAUAAAUCUUAAAACCAUAGGUAAUACUGAUACUGAGCUGAAAUGACAGGACGUCCUUUCGCAAGGCGACGACAAUAGCUCAAUCAAAUACGCAGGGGAAAACAUCCUACACCACCUCUGUAGUGCCAUUACAAUUCUUCAAUUCCAGAUUUACAACAAGCGGUCCACGUCGUAUAAGAUUGAAUAGGAAAUAAAAAAGGCAUAAGCCUCAAAGGAAUCAAAUCGCACGAUGAGGAAUGAAGAAGGGAAGUGCUACUAACAUCGCUAUAGCCUCUCAAAUAUAAGUACAAACGUCCCUGUAUUGCUCAUGACUCGUGAGACCUAAGUAAACCUAGUGCUUUAAUACCAUUUUGUCACGACCCAAAGUCCAUUAAAGGUCGUGAUGGUGCCGGACACGACUGUCAGGUAAGCCAGCACUAAAUAGUUAAUUAAAUUCUCAUUUUAAUAUUUUUGAAAUUAUAAAUUUUCCUUCGAUUUAACCAGUUAAAAGAUGAAAUUUACAGAAUAAAUAAUAAUAUUUUUCUAAAUUUCAAUACUGAAUAUCCCAUAAUCAUCCCAUAACCCGGUGUCACAAGUGAAUGAGCAUUUAUUAGAAAAUAAAAUACAAUAACUAUUCAGAAUAAAAAUUUGGGACAGAAAAAAUACAAAUACUCUGAAGGAGAUUCUGCUGGUUGCGGAUUGUAAUAUGAGAUGCAGCUCACCUAUGUCCCCGUGUCAACCAUGGCGCUGCUCCCACUAAGCCACUAGCCAUACAGGUGCCUGUACAAUAAAAUGUACAGCAAGUGUAAUAUGAGAACGAAAACAACGCAUACCCUAUAAGUAUCUAGUCUAAUCUCGAAGAAGUAGUGACGAGAGGUCGACUCUGACACUUACUAUGGCCAACAAUAAUAUACCUAUAAUAUAGUUAAUCUUGUAUUUUAUAAGACGAAUGUAAACUCAAUAGCAUGAAGUAGAUAAAUAAUUCUUUUGUUAAUAGGAUAUUUUCCAAAUUUAUUUUUAUCUUUUAAUAAUUAAUAUCUUCGGCCAAUGAGGCCACAUCAAUUAUCAAUAAUUUCAAGACAAUCAAUUAAGUCAUGUGCAAUUCAUGUCGAGGUCGUACAACCUGAUCCAACAUAAUAUUUAAACUGUGCACUACCAGAGGGUCAAAUGACACGAACCAUAGAUGCAUAUAUUUAAUCUGUCGAGGCGUUCGACUCGUUCCACAAAAGGAAAACACAUUCAAAUAGUAAAUCAAGAAUUCAUCAAGGAGCAAUUAUCCAAGGAAAUGGCAAUCUUCCUUUAACGGUCAAGAAAAUGAAGUUUAACCUUUUAGAAAUUCAUUUACCAAGUUCAAUAUGAUUUAAGAAAUUUAAAUUUACAAUAAGGUUACAAAUAUCUCAAGUAUAGCAUGCUUUUGGGUCCUAGUCUACCCGAACAUAAGCAUAAUAGUCGCUACGCACGGACUCUCGGCACCUCGUGCGUACGUAGCCCUCACAAAUAGAAGCACAUAUUGAUUUAGUUCAUAUAUGGGUUUAAUUCCCUCUUACAAGGUUAGAAAGGAGACACACCUCGCUCUGAAGUUCCAUAAUCAGCUACCAAAUAAUUCAAUCAACUCAAAUCGAUGUCCAACACUCCAAAACUAGUCAAUAAAUGAGCAAAUACAUAAAUGUUUACUCUAAUACUUACAUCAAUUUAAUUUAAACAAAUUCCUUCCGCUUGAUAAGUUGAUAAAAUCACCUUCGGGCCCACGUGCCCGGAUUCCGAAAAUUUUCGAAGAUAAACUUUACCCAUAACCUCACGAUCUCAAAUAUAUAAUUUAUUCUCUAUUCCAUGCCCACAUUCGUGGUCAAAAUCCAAAUAUACCAAUUUCUAGAUUUUUCUUCAAAAUCCCAAAUUUCCACUAAUUUCUCAUGAUUUUCCAAGUUUAAAUCCUUAUACAAACCAUGUAUUUAGCAUAUAAUAAGUGGGAAUCACUUACAUUGAUAUAGAUGAUGAAAACCUCCCUUUCAAGAGCUCCAAAAAUCGCCUAACCAAAUGAAAAAUGGAGGAACAAUGGCCAAAUCACGUCUUUCAAACAAUCUGCCCAAGCCAGGCCCCCUUUUUCGCGUUCGCGAUCAAAUCAUCACGUUCGCGAAGGCUGCAGACACCACUGCUUUGCGUUCGCGGCUGUAGCUCCGCGUUCGCGAAGUCCAAACUACUCCAGGCUCCCACUCAGUUUCCUUCUUUGCGUUCGCGACCCCUGUGUCAUGUUCGCAUAUGCUUCCUUAGGCAAACCUCCGCGUUUGCGAAGGCCAAAACCCAGCUGCCUCAAAUUCUUUUUCGCGAACGUGAGACACCCUUCGCGAUCGCGAUGAACGAAACCAGACAGUAACAACAGUCCAAAACUACCUGAAAUGAUCUGGAACCAUCCCGAAACACACCCGAGGCCCCUAUGACCCCGUCCAAGCACACAAACCAGUCCCACAACAUAACACGGACCUGCUCGAAGCCUCAAAUCACAUUAAACAACAUCAAAAUAAUGAAUCACACCUCAAUUCGAACUUAAUGGACUUUAGAACUUCAAACUUCUACAUUCGAUGUCGAAACCUAUAAAAUCACGUCCGAUUGACCUCAAAUUUUUCACACAAGUUAUAUUCGACAUUAUGGGCCUACUAUAACUUUCGAAAUCAGAAUCCGACCCCAAUAUAAAAAAGUCCACUUCCGGUCAAACCUCUCAAAACCUUCAAAUUUUAAAAUUUCGCCAAAUGACUCCAAAAUGACCUACGGACCUCCAAAUCCAUAUCCGGACAUGCUCCCAAUACAAAAAUCACCAUACGGAGCUGUUCCUAGACUCGGAAUUCCAAACAGACAUCGAAAACAUUGAGAUGCACUUCAACACAAAUUUAUGAAACUCUUCCAAAAUGCUAACUUCCUUAAUAGGCACCGAAACGCUCCCAGGUCACCCAAAAUCAGAUCCGGACAUACGCCCAAGUCUAAAAUCCUCAUACGAACCCGUUGGAACCUUUAAAUCCUGAUUCCGAGGUCGUUUACUCAAAUAUCCAACCUUAGUCAAUUCUUACAACUUAAGGCUUCUGAAAUGAGAAUUUUCUUUCCAAAUCUACUCUGUAUUUCUGAAACUCCAAUUCCGACCAUGCGUACAAGUCAUAAUACCCGAAGUGAAGCUGCUCAUGACCUCAAACUACCAAACGACGUCUUAGAGCUCAAAACAACCGGUCGGGUCGUUACACAAGUUACAUGUUCUAACCAAUGAAAUAUCACACUUCAAUUUGAUUGGUCGGAAAUAGUUUGUUCUUAUCAUAACUCUUUCCUUCCAUAACUAUAAAUACAGGUCUUCAUAACCCAGAAAAGACACAAGAAGUUAUAACAAGAAGCAAAAGAAAGCCUGUGGAUCAAAUGCUACAGAUUUCUCCAAAAGCUACAAGCGUUCAAGUGUUCUAAAGAUUAAAAGAUCAAGACGAAGAUUCACGAACAAGCUGCAAGCCCUUGGAUUAAAAAUACGUCAAGAUCAAGAUCAGGCCUCAAGCACUUGGAUUAAAAUAAAAUAAAAUUCAAGAUUAUUCUCAAAAGCUCUUUUAUUUACUGUUGGAAAGAAGAAUCGGAGGAUUCAUAGAGAUUGUUACACUCAAAUAUUUGAAAUAAAAUACUACGAUUUUUGCAAUAUAUUUGGGUCUUGAUUUUAAUUUCUCGACGCAAAUUUAUUGUAUAUCCCAAGUAAUUUUGGUUCGAAAAAUUGUUGGGAAUAUCGAAGUUGCCAUGCGGUGCAAUUAAUUACUUGUUUGGGGCAUGAUAUUUGGCAUAUUUAUAUACGUUUCUGUAUUAAUUUUGUUAUAUUUUUAAAUUACUGUAUAUAAUACAUAUAUACAAAUAAGGAAGAUCAUUGUACUAUUGUAAAUCAUACGAAAAGUUAUAGCCUAUUUGGUCAAAUUCUUAGAAGGUCAAAAGUAUUUAUUUUUCUUUUAAAAAAUGCUUAUUUUAAAAAGUUAAAGCGUUUGUUCAAAUCUUUUGUACAAAAAAAUAAGUAUUUUUGGGUAUAAGCACGAGCUCUUUCUCAGAAGGUGAAAAGAAUUAGCUUCUCACCAGAAGCAGAAGUUGCUUUUUAAUUUUUCUUUUGGCAAAAAUAUCCAUUGAAAAAAAUAUAUACCAAAAUAACCCUACUUAAUUUAAGUUAAUAUUUAUGCUAUUCUAAUUGUAUUUUCCCUCUCCAGAAUUAGGGAUGAUAUUAUUAGUAACUCUCUUCAUGUAUAAGUAUUUCAUGUUAUUCUAUCCUAAGCUGCUGGCGUUAAACAAUCCUUUUCCUUUUCAAACACUACUUCUAAUUAAGAGACAACCAAUAAUAAGAUAAAUAUUCCUAUUUCUUAUGAAGAAUUGGUGCAUGUCGAGGCUCCAAAACCUAAUCCUAGUUGGUUUCAAAAUUUCUCGAAAGUAUUUAAACCCUAGCUGGUUCAAUUCUUCGUAUUCAUUCAUAUUUCGUUUAUUUUUAUUUCGUUUGCUCAGUGAUAUCUAGGCCAACAUGAAUACAGAUAGGGAUCCAUUGGAUGCUGCAGAGAGGUUUCUCAUCUCGUCUUGUAUGUGUUUUAAACUUCUUUAGUUGUUAUUUUCGCCAUUUUUCGACACGCCUGGUGGUGAGCAAUUUAUGCCGAUUAAGGCCAAGAGGUGUGUAUUCGACUUUUUAGUGUUUUGGUCUAUAUACGUAUGGUUCCUUUACUUUAUACGCGAUGAAGAUACAAAGAGAAAUUUAAAGCAAAUAUAUACCGAUAAAUUCCCCAGUAUGAUUGUGUCAAUAUUGGACAAGAUAUUCGACUUGCUAGAAAAUCCAGGUAUGCUUAUGUACUUUACAAUUGGAGUAACGCUGAUUAGUUUGACGAUAGAUUAUUGGAAAGAUUGGUUCAAGAAUUGGUAUCUGUUAAGAAAUAUAUUGUGUUAAUGUAGUAUAUUCACUUUCCUUAUUAGUUGUAAAUCAAAUCCCACAGAAUGUGGAUCACGAUUAUGGAAGCUUAAAAUUAGACUUAGAUUGAUUCUUAGCAUCUGUAUAUAUAUGCAGCUAGUUUUGUAAAUGAAAAUACAUACCUUCAGCUAAUUCUCUUGUUUCACAAAAGCUUCUUUGUCUCAUUUUUAACUUGGUAUCAGAGCAGCCACCAUUUUCUCGAGAAAAUGGUGAACGACAAAGACGAAACACCAAUCUACCAAUCUGAUACUUCAAAAACCAUCCAGCAAAGCGUUGGUUUGGACCAAUCUAAUCCAUAUUUUGUUCAUCCUUCAGAUCACCCCAAUGAUAUGCUCGUUCCAGUGAAACUGAACGGCACCAACUAUCCAUCAUGGAGUAAAUCCAUGAUACAUGCCCUCACAGCCAAGAAUAAAAUUGGCUUUAUCAGCAGAACUAUCAAACCACCUCUAGAGACGGAACAACCAAUAGAAUAUGCGCAAUGGAAUCAAUGUAACAACAUGGUUCUAUCUUGGCUUACACAUUCAGUAGAGCCCGAUCUAGCCAAAGGAGUCAUUCAUGCUAAGACCGCUUAUCAAGUAUGGGAGGAUUUUGGAGAUCAAUUCUCGCAAAAGAAUGCACCAGCUAUCUAUCAGAUCCAAAAGUCAUUGGCAUCUAUUUCACAAGGUACAAUGUCGGUCUCUGCAUAUUUUAUAAGACUCAAAGGUCUUUGGGAUGAAUUAGACACGCAUCGAUCUAUCCCCACUUGCAACCAGAUGAAAGGACAUGGUGAACAGAUGGAAGAAGAUCGCGUAAUGCAAUUUCUCAUGGGCCUCAAUGACACUUACAAUGUUGUCCGUUCAAAUGUUCUCAUGAUGUCUCCAUUACCGAAUGUACGUCAAGCCUACUCUCUUGUUAUACAAGAAGAAACGCAACGAGGUAUGUCUUCGGAAUCAAUUGAAAAUUUUUCCAUUGCUGCUACAGUUCAAAGUCUUCCAAUCAAUUUUUCAAACAAGUUCAAAAGUAAGUAUUGUGAACACUGCAACAGAGAGGGACAUACAAUUAAAAAUUGCAGAACUCUGAAAUUUCAUUGCAAUUAUUGUGACAAAAAGGGCCAUAUAGAAGAUAGAUUUAAGUUUAAAAAUGGCACUUGGGCUUCAAACAAAUCAAACAACCAAAAUGGCCAGCAACCCUCACGUAGGGGCCAAGGUAAUUUGCACAAUACCUUUCCAUCUGCUAAUGCUAUGGAUUCUUCCCAAACUUCACAUGGUAUUCAUACUCAAGAGAACAACAGUUCUUCACAUGGACUUUCUACAAGUCAACUUCAAUAAAUUGCUCGUGCUUUAUCUAUGAUGACACAAAAUAAUGUUACUGGUAAUGCCGAUACUUAUGCAAAUACAGCAGGUUCUUCUCUUUUUUCCAAAUGUUUCAAUUAAUUCCAUAUUUAGUAAAUCAUGGAUUUUGGAUAGUGGAGCUACUGAUCAUAUAGCUUCUGAUUCCACACUUUUUACCAAAACAGAAUCCCUGUCAAUACCAAUUGUUAAAUUACCCACUGGAUCCUCAGCUACUAUCACUUGCACAAGCACUAUACCUUACAACUCAGAGAUCACCUUAAAUGAUGUUUUAUGCGUUCCCUCUUUUCGCUUAAAUUUGAUGUCUGCAAGAAAAGUCACUAAUGCUUUGAAUUGUUGUGCCAUGUUGUUUUUCACUUUCUGUACUUUACAGGACUUGGCUACGGGGAAGAUGAUUGGCUUGGGUAAAUAGCGUGGUGGCCUCUAUUACAUGUCUCCCUUGCAAAAGAUGCCCGCCUCUCAUCAAGUUUCUCAACCCUCGAAUUUAUGGCACAUGCGCCUUGGCCAUCCGUCACCAUCUCGUUUUAAAUUAGUUUCUCCAUCAUUGCCUUCUUAUAAUGAAUCUUUUGAGAAUAAUUGUACUGUUUGUCCUAUGACCAAAUAAACUAGACUUCCAUUUUCAUCAAGUUCAAUAUCAACUCAUAAUCCAUUUGAUCUUUUAUAUUGUGAUAUUUGGGGUCAACAUAGGGCCCCUACACAUUCAGGGGCACGUUUCUUUCUUACUAUUGUGGAUGAUUUUACAAGGUGCACUUGGGUAUUUCUUAUGAAAAAAAAAGUCUGAUACCCAAUAUCUAGUAAAAUCUUUUAUUGCAUUUGCUCAUACUCAAUUUGAUGCCUCAGUCAAAAACCAUAAGAGUAGAUAACGGCGGAGAAAUUUUAUCCAUGAAAUUUUUUUUCCAGUCGCAAGGUAUCGAAUGUCAAUGAACUUGCAUUCAACUCCUCAACAAAAUGGAGUAGUUGAACGUAAACAUCGUCAUAUCUUAGUUGUUGCGAGAGCAUUGCGUUUUUAAUCUCACUUACCUCUCACCUUUUGGGGCGAAUGCGUGUUGACCGCGGUCUAUCUUAUCAAUAGACUUCCUUCGCCAUUAUUAUCUUCCAAGUCACCUUUUGAAUUAUUGUAUAAUCAUACACCAUCACUUGAUCAUUUGAAAGUUUUUGGUUGUCUCUGUUACGCCACAGUUGUUCAUCCCACUCAUAAAUUUGAUUCUCGUGCCAAAUGUUGUAUUUUUGUUGGGUAUCCUACAGGUCAAAAAGGCUACAAACUUUAUGAUUUGGACAAAAAAUAUUUUGUGAGCCGAGAUGUUAAAUUUUUAGAAAACACUUUUCCGUUCUCAAUAUCAUCAAAUCUUGAUUCUGUAAUGCAUAGUUUUUCUUCAUACCUCAUAGAAAAUUUGCAGCAUAUACCAUCAUCUUCCACUAACAUUUCAUCUCACCAACCUCAACAUGUUGAGUGUUUUGAUACAGAUAAUUGUACUAUAUCUCCUAAACCAUUGAAUCCACCCGAACUCACUGAAGCAUCAGAUAAUUCACAUGACCAACCUACAACUUCUGCAACUUUACCUCUAGCUGAACCUACUAGUGCACCUGACAGUGCACUUAGUCCCUCAACCAGGUUGACAACACAUGUUUCCAACUCUAUAGAUCCUUCUAUAGCUCCGGCAAGACAAUCCCUCCGUGUUAAGCAACCUCCGACAUGGCAUAAAGACUACAUACUGUCAUUACAAGCCAAUCAUUCCAACUCGAUAGCAAGUUCUGAAUCAUGUACUCGUUAUCCUCUUUCUCAUUAUAUUUCAUACUCUCAUAUGUCAUUUGCACAUUGUACCUUUUUAGCUAACAUUACAUGUCAUACCGAACAUACCACUUAUGAACAAGCUGUUAUUGAUCCUCACUGGAAACAAGCCAUGAAUAUAGAAUUAGAACCACUCCAACAAAACAAUACAUGGAGUUUGGUACCUCUUCCUGCUGGCCAUAAAGCCAUCAGAUGUAAAUGAUUCUACAAAAUCAAGUACAAAUCAGAUGGUACAAUUGAUCGAUAUAAGGCUCGUCUUGUAGCUAAAGGGUACACUCAAGUAGAGGGUAUUGAUUAUCAAGAAACCUUUUCUCCAACGGCUAAACUUACUACACUUCGUUGCCUUCUUACUGUUUCUGCCGGGCGCAAUUGGUUUGCUUACCAAUUAGAUGUCCAAAAUGCUUUCCUUCAUGGUGACUUGAAUGAAGAAGUGUAUAUGGAACCUCCACCCGUCUUUGCCGACAGGGAGAGAAUGUUGUAUGUCGGCUACACAAAUCUCUAUAUGGUCUUAAACAGGCAUCAAGAAAUUGGUUUCUUAUAUUUUCAGAAACUAUUCAAAAGGCUGGUUAUGAACAAUCAAAAGCCGAUUAUUCUCUUUUCUUCAAGGCUCAAGGUACUUCAUUUACUGCAAUCCUUGUCUAUGUUGAUGAUAUACUUCUCACAGGAAAUGAUCUUCAUGAAAUCGAGCGUCUCAAAAGCUUUCUUCUCAAACGCUUCAGUAUCAAAGAUCUUGGAAAUUUGAAAUAUUUUCUGGGUAUUGAAUUUUCUCGAUCACAUAAAGGUAUUUUCAUGUCUCAAAGAAAAUAUGCAUUACAUAUUUUACAAAAUUCUAACUAGGAGCACGCCCAGACAAGUUUCCAAUGGAACAAAAUCUGAAACUUACUCCCACUGAUGGAGAAUUAUUAAAUGAUCCAACCAAGUAUAGAAGAUUAGUUGGCAGAUUGAUAUAUCUUACGGUUACGAGACCUGACAUAGUGUACUCUGUUCAUACAUUAAGUCAAUACAUGCAUGAGCCUCGAAAGACUCACUGGGAUGCUGCUUUACGGAUCCUCAAAUACAUCAAGGGUACUCCAGGACAAGGUUUAUUAUACUCUUCCUACAAUAAUCUCACUUUAAAAGCCUUUUGUGAUUCAGACUGGGGAGGUUGUCGUGCCAUAAGAAGAUCAGUUACAAGAUAUUGCAUUUUUCUUGGUAAUUCCCUUAUCUUAUGGAAAUCCAAGAAACAAUCAAAUGUUUCAAGAUCAUCCACGAAGCAGAGUAUCGAGCAAUGGUUAAUACAUGCUUGGAGCUUACUUGGUUACGUUACAUUCUGCAAGAUCUAAAAGUCCCACAAGCGGCUCCUACACAACUAUUCUGUGACAAUCAAGUUGCUUUGCAUAUUGCAGCGAAUCCCGUCUUCCAUGAACGCACUAAACAUAUUAAAAUAGAUUGUCACAUAGUUCGCGAAAAACUGCAAGUUGGAAUGAUUAGUCCAUCAUAUGUACCGACACACUUCCAGUUGGCAGAUGUCUUUACAAAGGCCUUGGGAAAGGAUCAAUUUGUGACACUACGCAACAAGUUGGGACUUCAUGAUAUUCACUCUCCAACUUGAGGGGGAGUGUUAAGAAAUAUAUUGUGUUAAUAUAGUAUGUUCACUUUCCUUAUUAAUUAUAAAUCAAAUCCCACAGAAUGUGGAUCACAAUUAUGGAAGCUUAAAAUUAGGCUUAGAUUGAUUCUUAGCAUUUGUAUAUAUAUGCAGCUAAUUCUAUAAAUGAAAAUACAUACCUUCAGCUAAUUCUCUUGUUUCACAAAAGCUUCUUUGUCUCAUUUUUAACUGUAUCAAUAUGAAUUUGCCUGAAGGGUGGGCAUCGCACUUGUAUGGUUAUUCUUAUGGUUAUGGUGUUUCAUCUUUAUUGUUAAGCCCUGUGUGAGAUUCCUUUGGCAGUUUACUUCAACAAUGAAGGAGGGAUGGGAAUCUGGAAAAUUUUCCUAUGAUUUGGACGUCUAGGAGAGUGACUAGUCCUUUGGAUUCAGAAACAUAAAGUUUUACUUUAGGUUUGUUUUGUUAUCAGUUAUAUAUGUUUGACUGUUUCUUUGGUUGAUUUUUAUUUAAGUUAAUUUCUCUGUUUUGUUUUCACUCCGUUCAGUAAAUCUUCUUAAACGACAUGGUCUCUCAACGAUAUAUAUAUAUAUAUAUAUAUAUAUAUAUAUAUAUAUAUAGCAGUUAACGAAUGUGUUUACAUACAUGCAUAGUUUUACGUGGUAUAUUAAAGGCGAAUACAUCGGGAGACACUUAAAGUUGGCACCAUUUUCCAUUUAGACACCUAAACUGAAGACUGUUCCUAUUGAGCACUUAUAAUACACUUAACUUGUUCCAAUUAGGCACUAUUUUGAGAAUUAGCCAAACUUACAAAGUGUGUGCAAUGCACUCAUGGCUGACGCAGCGAAUGACAAAUAAAAAAGGAACAUAUAUCAUUUUGAGUUAAAAAAAAAAACUAUUUUAAAAUCUAUUUAGUUAACAAAAUAAAAUAACAUUCUCAAAAAGAAAAAAUAUUUAAUUUACACCCAAUAAAAAAUGACACAUUAUUAACAAAAGAAAAGACAAAAAAAGGACACAUUGGUGUUUUUGAAAUCAUAUUGUUCUUGGUGUUUUUCACUAUCUUCAUGUCUAUUCUUGUUCCAACCGCGAUUUUAAUCCAAAAUUUCAAGAGAAACUCCUCUAAAUUUGUUAUAACUUCAACUAAAGAUUCCCGACUAAGACUCGAAGACAACCCCAAUAUUAAUUUCUCAAUUUUUCAUCAAAUCAAGUAACCCAUUUUAAACCUUCAAGCUUUCUUAAAGAGCCCAUUAAUGGUGUUUUGACUUCAAAUGAAGAAUACGGUUCUUACUUCGAUUUUAAUAAACUGAUACGGUUCUCCACCAUUAUUAGCUAAGGAAAUGAGACAAUUUUCUUUUGUUUAAUUUCAUAAGAAUAGAAAACAAGAAUGUAAAGGAGCAUAAGUCCAUAUCUAUGGGAUGUCUAGCUGUUAAGUAGGGCAAGAUUGAUUUUGAUUACUUUUAAGCGAAGUAAAUUAAUUGUGGAAGCACAACAAUGGUGAAAAUGGGGGAGACAAUGGUGGAAGUGAUGGCAGAGAGAAAAGAAGAAGAAGAAGAAGAAGAAAGAAAUAAUCAGAAAAAAUGAAGAUAAAAUAUGUUUUUGGGCUCUUCACUCGCCUAUUUUGGGUGAAGCUCACUCUAUGUGUCAACUCAGCAUUGGAAACGUUUAGUGUAGUAUAAGGGCUCAAUAUGAACAACCUUAAGUUUAGGUAUCUAAAUAAUAAAUGGUGCUAACUUUAAGUGUCUCCGGAUAUAUUCCGCCUAUAUUAACUUGUAUGUAAUAAGAAAAGAAAAGAACGGUAGCCAAACUUGUCUUUUGACUUUGUAAAAAAAUAGAUUUUUUGUUCCUAUAUUUGAUACUUAUUUACUAAAAUUUCCCUAAUUUUGUUUAUUGCCCUCCCUAAAAAAUGAUUGCUUACAAUUUAUAAUAAUUUAGUGCCUUAAAUUAGAAAAUUUAGUUACAUCAUUUUUUCUUUUUUCUCCUCUCUCCUAUUUCCCUAUUCUCUACCGCCUCUCUUCAUAUAUAAUUCAUUAUUAGUAUUUUAAUUAUGAGAUUCAAUUACUUCCUUUCCCUUUUUCUCUCCUCUCCUCUUUCUGCAAUAGUGACUUAACUAUAGUAUAACAAUUCCAUUAAUAUCGAAUCACGGUAACGUAAAAUAGUUCAAGACUUAAUUGAGAACCAAAACUUAUAAAACUAGUUUAAUAGCUUGAACUAGAAAGUAGCGUCAAACUAAAGAAAUAGAGACACUGACAAAAUACAUCACCUAAACAAGACAGGUUUAUACCGGAAUAUAUUCAAUAUGAUUCAAAUUUAAUACAUCUACAAUAACUUAUAAGCUAAAAAUAAAUUUUAUACAACCACUACAACAUCAUCAACUGAAAUACAAUUUUCAUACAAAUUUAUACAAAUAUAUCUUUUUUAUUUUAUAUAUAUAUAUAUAUAUAUAUAUAUAUAUUAAUUUGCACUGGGUGUCCGGGUCUCUUCGAGCCCCGACUAAUCCCAGGAGUGCACAGGUCCUCGGCAAGGAGUUUCCCGCAAGUGCACCAUGGUUAAUUCAGGUUUUACCCAGUCCGAUGGCUCUCAGAAAUUGUUUGCACCCAGUGGGUUUCAAACUUGAGACCUUGAAAGAGAGCAAACCCCAAGGCUUAAGUCAAUUGUCACCGGGCCAACCCCUGAGGGUUUAUUUUAUAUAUGAUUUGUACAUAUUUUGUAUAAAGUGUGUUCUUCUUCUUCUUCUCUGAAAUUCCAAUCAAACUUUCUCUCUUAAUACUAUUUUGAUACAUAUACAUAUAUAUAUUUUGAUUUCCACAUUAAAAGGCUACAAUCAAGGAUACUCAUUUAAAACUUAUUUAUAUAUAACUGGUAAAUUGUAUAUCAACUUGCUUAAGUUAAAACCUAAACAAUGAGGGUAAAUAAGUUUGUAAUGUUGUAUAUAUAGAUAAAAAUCUAUAGGUAAAUUAAGAUUACAGACAUACAGAGUUAAAAUAAGAAAAAAGAAAUAUAUAAGGUAAAACUCUUAAUGAUUUCAAUAAAUAAAGAUUUGGUAAGUGUAACUGUCACACCUCCUUUUUUCCUACACCCCGAAAUGGGGUAUAAGGAAGUUUUUCCAAUUUAAGUGACAAUCGAAACAGGAUUAUUUUAUUUAUUUCAGAGUCGCCACUUGGGAUAAUUUAUGGUGUCCCAAGUCGCCGGUUGAAAUCCCGAAUCAAGGAAGUUUGACUCUCUUCUAUAGUCUGCGAACACAAAAAUUCAGGUAAGGAAUUCUGUUAACCCGGGAGAAGGUGUUAGGCAUUCCCGGGUUCCGCGGUUCUAGCACGGUCGCUUAGUAAUUUAUACUCGACUUAAAAUGUUUAAUUACUUAUUUUAGAACCUAUGUGCAAUUAUCUUUUUACCGCAUUUAAAUCACUUGAUUUAUUCGUAAUUAAAGAAUUGAGUUACGCGUACGUAUACUCGUUUUCUUUGGCGCGUCAAAAAUCCUGUCACUCGAACGUGUCCAUAAUUAAUAAUGCUUCGUUUAUUUAUUUAAGAAAAUUUGAUUGAGGUUGCGCGAACGCAUCCCUCGAGUCUUUUUUUUGGAGUUAAAUUCGCAAUUAUGUUACGCGAACGUAUACAUAAUCACAAUGGUUUAUUAUUAAUCUCGCCUAAAGAAACUACGAUGUAUGAUGAGUUAUUUCUUCCGAUGCAAUGGGAUUUUGCGUAAAGUCAAAAGCUUAUGGAAUUAGACAGUAGGGGUUCAAAUAUCUUCGUUACAAAGCCAAGUUCAUUUGGAUUUUUGCAGAAUUAGAAAAAUAGCCUAAUGACUUGUGCACGUUGAUUAAUUAAAGAGCAUUUGUCUGUUACACAAAAGAACUAAGGCAAAUAUAAGUAGUCAAUCCUUAGAUGUACAUCUUUCCCCUUACUCUUUCCCUAAUACUAUCAAGAAAUGCCAAAUCGCUUAUAAAAUAUUUAUCUGUACAAUAAGCAAUCUCGUAAUAAAUAUUUUUUCAUCUCAAAACUUUUUCCCACGUUGGAAUAUUUCUUAUUGGUUUAAUAAUCAUCUUAACUGAUUAAAGGUAGAGGGAUAUAAAAUAACCAAUCCAUGUAAUUUGCAAAAGAAAGAAAUUAAACACAAUGUCAAAGAUAAUUUAAACCAACACCCAAUCAUAUACAGUUUUUGAAGAGCAUCAACUCAUAUAGCUGCCAGCAAAAAGAUUUUUAUAAAUCAACCAGAUAAAAAUACCACAUUAUGAAUGAUAAGAGGAGAUUAUUCCAUCUAGAAUUGAACUGAUCGAACCUAUCCAAACAAACCUCUUAAGCAAACAAAUAACAAGAACAAUAGGAUCCAUAAACAGUACGAAUUAAACAAUAUUUCAUAUUUAAGAUACUCAAACCAAUUUGGGCAAUAGGAUUCACAAUGUACGAUUCAGGACCAAAACAAAUCCUAUCCGUAUGAAACUCCAUACACUUCAGAGAUUCCUAAUAAGUAAGUAAGCGAAAUACCUUGAUAGCAAUAAUACAACUUGAACUUAGCCAAAUGAAUUCCGAAAUGGAUGAGUGAAGCUCAAUGUGUUCAAGCAGAAUACUCAACAAACAACAUUUAUUUCUCGAAAUAAAACCGAUAUUGAGCAUGUUUAUUCUACUGACACUAUACUAAAUCCCUACAAUCCAUACAUAUAGACGAAACCUUAAACCAUUCAUAUCAGCUUGACUAAUAAGAAUGUUCUGCUUAUUUACAAAUGAACUUUAAGGCAAAAAUUUCAACAACUAAGAAUUAUAUGACAAAUGGUUAUAUAUGCUAGGAAUCAAUCAGGGAGCUGUAGCUAGAAUAUAACAUGUAAAAGGCAAAUCGACCUGACACAAGCUGUGGCCCAGCAAUGUGAUUUCAAAUUCUUCUAAUCUCAUAUAUCCAUGAGGUGCAGGAAAGUACCUGAAAUUUGAAGAAAGGGAAGGUAAGAGGUGAAACAGUAAUAAACAGCAGCAAUAGUAGAACCCCAGCAAUCAAAGAGCAGACCAACAGAACGAUUCUUAACUAAAAAAUGAAGUACAAAUUAAAAAAAGACUCAAUGGAACAGUGUUUUCUACAGAGUUUACAUCUGUUUUUUUUUAUUUUCAGGAUUUCUUGGCUCUUCAGUAUUUUUUAGUAUUUUUCAGAAUGUCCUCCCUUGUCUCUCUUUUGACUCUUUCUUCUAUAUCUAUGUUUUUUUAGUCUAUUCAGCUCCCCCUUUUUCUGUCCUCAACAGCCCUUGAAAUAGGCAUUAAGUUAGUGUUCUCUCCACUAUCAAUUCACCUUUUCAUUUUUAAACCAUCCACUAGCUUAGUGCUUUCUUAAUUUAAACAGCUAUUGCAAUCCCAACCCUACCACUAUUAAAAGCUUCCUAAAGUUAGUUAGGUAGAUAAUCUCUUUUAUUAAACAAUUCUUAAUUUUCAACCUUUUAACUAAAGUGUUGCUUUUGAUUGUUCAAUUCCUAAGCCUAAAAUUAUUGUAAGGCUAAAAUUAUGGACAUGGACUUUUAGAGGGCAUGAUGUGGCUUAAUCAUAGCUAUUGGACCAACAAUUCUAAUGGGCUGCACACAUGAGGGAUCGAGCAAUCCACCAGAAAAAUGAUUAAGAACCAAAGAAUUGUGACCCAUUACCAAGACUUUAUUAAUCCAUCCUUGUUUAAGGAAAAGAUAGGAAAUACUCAAACUUCUACUCACAUUCAUUAAUAUACAACUUGAAAUUUAAAUGGCAAAGAGCUAACAACAAACAUACUUUCACAUUUAUCAACAGUAACAAACUGAAACGCAUCAGCUUUUGGUCAUGAUACUUCUGCAAAAUUUCCCAUUACAAUACCUCUAAAACAGCAUGAAAUCCCUACAAAUCCAACAUCAAAUCCAAUAGCAAGGAAUUAAUCCGCAAACUUACUUCCUACACAUAAUGGGUAUCCAAUUAUCCAGUUUUUCAAUUAUCAAAUACACCCAUAACUGAAUGAACAUCAUGCCUAUCACCACAAAAUUCAAGCAACAAAUUAAAAAUGGAAAAUAGAUAAACCUGAAUUGCUUUCCAAUGUACUUGAAUCUCCGACAAUUACCAUUUAAUAAGAAUUCCAACGAUUGAACUCGAAAGGAAAGCUUAAUAUAGCAGCAACAGAAUCGAACAUGUACCGCGAAUCUGCCCGGAUUGAACCUCGGACAGUGACUUCGAAUCAAGCCCAAAAAUCUAACUCAACAGCUUUUAAUCGUGCCUCAACCAAAGGUGGACGAUGACCUCAAGCGGACUUCGUAGGAACUAAUGGAAACAGUCACUAAACUCAAUCGAAAAAAUGGAGAAUCAUCGGAAAAUAUACUAAACGAGCUCUUGAUUGAUGGAUUUUACUGGUGGUUAUGAGGUUGGAGAAGAAGAAGAUGAACGAUGGGGUGUUGUGUUUCGCUGGUCUCUAGCGUUCUCUGCUGGAGAAGACAAAGAUAGGGGAGGGUCCCUCUUCUGUUUGUGUGACUGAUUCUAGCGAGUUAGUAAAGCAGGGUGGUGUGAGGUCCGGCGACUUGGGGUGGGGUGUGUGAAGGAGAUGGAAAGCGAGGGGUUGGGGUUUUCUCCUGUUGCGGCUGAUUUUCUUCUUAGGAUUCUAGGUUAGAAUUUUAGGUGGGGAAAAAUGGGGCUGGUCUUGGGUGUUGGGUCGGGUCGUGGACGGUUUUGGCUGAUUUUGGUUGGGUAUUAGGUGGUUUUGUAUUUGGGCUUGGGAUUUAAAUGGGACUUUAGCCCAAUUUUGAUUUCCCCCUCUUUUAUUAGUUAUUUGCAUUUUCUUUUCUUCCAAAAAUUAAAACUAAAAUCCUAAUUAAAUUUUAAAAACCCAAAUUAGCUUAAAAAUAUUAAUUAACUUUAAAUAAUACCUAUCACAAAUAAUUAAACACCAAAUUAAAAGAAAAAUCACAAAAUUUGACAUGAAACACUAAAAAUGCACAAAUACGUUAUUUUUUGUGAAAAUUUCAUUUUUUGUAAAACAACAAUUUACUAAUUUAACAAAAAAAAAUAUAAAAUCAAAUCCUACGUGUUAAUGCUAUAUUUUUUUUGUAUUUUUAAUGCAUUAAUAAAUUAAAUAUGCACUCAAAAAUACGCAAACAAUCAGGAGAAUCGCACAGUAAUUCCUAAAAUAACACAUAAUUAAAGAAAAGACCUAAUUUUGGGAAUUUUUUUGGAGUAAUCCGUGUGAGGCAAAAAUAACGUGCUCACAGCUGCCCAUCUUUACUCGGAAACACGAAGAGUUUUCGUGCAAACAUAAAGUGAGCGGAUACGAGCGAUUUUUGCCCGUUUGAAUACUCCGUGGGAAGCAUUUUUUGAAAGAAUUUGACCGAACCUCUGCUCCAAAGGUUUCCUACAUAUCCUUGGCUAUAAAGGAAUCAUGUCAAUGUAGUUCGGAAAGUUUUGGUAGCUGGGACUACCAUGAAGCUGUGGAUUCACUGUUACUGCUGAUACUGCUUACUGACCUCCUUAUUACACCAUGACAAAAUGAAGAAGCUAGACUAAGCUAUAAUCUAUGCUUUACAAAGAUUUAUUUUCAAACUUGGUCUUGUGACUGUUGUUGCCUUGUUGACUUGUAUUUUCUUCAGAAGUUCCUUUGUGGCUGACUUGAAUGGUAUUUUUUGAAAUUCUUUCCCUUUUUAUCCAGGCGGGUACGUGAUUGCUGAACCUUUUAAAUGUCUUCCUUUGACUAUCGUUUCCUUUCCUCUGUUCUCGGGACGGGCUCCUGAUUAUUUGAAAUUUGAAUUGUAUUCCCUUGCUCUUCAGGUGGGCGCCUGAUUGCCGAAACUUGAAGUGUAUUCCCUUGCUCUCCAGGUGGGCUCCAAAUAUCAGUAAGAACUUGAAAGCUAAAACUUGAACUGUUCUCCCUUGCUCUCUAGGUGGGCGCCUGAUUGCUGAAACUUGAACUGUUGUUCGUAGUUCUCCAGGUGGACACCUGAUUACUGAAUCUUCAACUGCUUUUUUCCUUGUUCUCCAGGUGGGCGCCUGAUUGCUGAUACUUCAACUGUUAUUCCUUGUUCUCCAGGUGGAUGCCUGAUUGCUGAUACUUUAACUGUUGUUCCUUGUUCUCCAGGUGGAUGCCUGAUUGCUGAUAUUUCAACUGUCUUUCCUUGUUCUCUAGGUGGAUGCCUGAUUGAUGAAUCUUUAACUGCUUUUCCUUGUUUUCUAGGUGGAUGCCUGAUUGCUGANNNNNNNNNNNNNNNNNNNNNNNNAUCUUUAACUGCUUUUCCUUGUUUUCCAGGUGGAUGCCUAAUUGCUGAUAUUUCAACUGUCUUUCCUUGUUCUCCAGGUGGAUGCCUGAUUGCUGAAUCUUUAACUGCUUUUCCUUGUUCUCCAGGUGGAUGCCUGAUUUCUGAAUUUUGAAUCAUCUUCUUCUUGCAACUGCCUUUCUUUGACUUGUUCUCCCUUGUUUUUCUAGGUGGGCGCCUGAUUACCAAUACUUGUGCCAAUCUUCCUUGAAACUUGAUUUGUUUUCCCUUGUUCUCCAGGUGGGCCCCUGAUUACUUGGUCAUGCUCUACUUUUUAUCUUUAAUAUCCGUGUUGUUCUUCCCCGUUCUUCAGACGGGCAUCUGACUUCAGCAAAAUAGACAACAAAAGAAAUUUUUUUGCCCAGUUUGGUAACCGGGUGCAUCUGUAAGUGUUAAUUGAAUCCUUUUACCAAAUAUCUUUAACAAUCUGCAAGCUAUAUCCCAUUAUCCAGGAGGGUCCUGAAAAUCUCUAGUAAGUUUCCAAAGCUACAUUAUAUUUUUUGGAGGUAUGACUUCCGUCGAAUCUUGUUAUCUAAGACUGUCUUAAAACUGCAUCCCAUUAUACAUGAGGGUCCUAAAAUUUCGAAUUAAAGCUUAUCUUACGAAUGACGAUUUCAAAGCUAAACUGUACUCUCUUAUAACAACACUUACUUAUCUAACAGAAUGCUUAAAGUUACGUCCCAUUAUUCAGGUGGGUCCUAAAAACUCUUAUGCGAACUUUGAAGCCAACUUAUACUCCUUUUGGUGCACAUUUGUCCUAUAUUUACUACUUAUGAUUGUUUUGGAUUUUAACCUAGGUCCCAUUUUCCAGGAGGGUCCUGAAGUUUCGAAUUGAGUCUUGUCUUAAAAAAUGAAAAAUUCAAACCAACUUAUAUUUUCACAAAGUAGAGCUUAUGCUAGAUAUUGUACUCAUGAAUAUUUCGAAUUAAAGCUAAGUCCCAUUAUCCAGGAGGGUCCUGAGAACUCCUAAUUGAAUCCUAUCUUAAACAUGCAAACUUUGAAACCAACUUAUAUUCCUUUGGGGUACAUUUAUGCUAGAUUUUGCUAUUUACGAUUGUUUCGAUUUUUAAACUAGGUCCCAUUUUCCAGGAGGGUCCUGAGAAUUCUGCAAUCAAACCUGCCUGGUACUUGUUCUUCUUACAGAUGAUUUCCUAAAACAAAUGUCAUCUUUGCCCCUGUUUCAAAUCAAAGAAAAUCUUGUCAGUUUAAAACGUGGUGGUUAGUUGUGGAAUUCUUGCUGGGGAUGGUUUUCUCUUUGCCAUGCUUUGCUUCGACCGACUGCCUCGAACUGGUCGAAAGAUUAUUUUGACCUUCUGACCGAUCUUUAACUGUAGGAUCCCCCAACUGUUGUUAUCCACUUCCGACCUUUAUGCCCGAACCCGUACAUCUCCCACGACAUUACUGAACCAUUCCACCGAUAUAACCUUUGCUUACACCCUAUGUCCCACUUUCAAUCAUAUUAUCUCCGGCAUGUUCUAGCCGUAUUUUGCUUUGGGAAAUUUUGAAAAUGGUAGUAAACUCUGAAAUUCCUUCUUACAAGGCUAACCUUGGAAGAACUUUAGAGGAGUAAAAUUAACAGCAAUGAAAUGCGAUGAUUUUGAGAAUUAAGAAUAAAGAAGAAAAAUCAAAAUUUGAAUGACUGUUGGAGAUAGGAAAAGAAACUUAUCUGAGGGGAGUCACUGGCACCGAUGAUCAUGAUAUGCAUUUUGGAUUAAUCAGCCUAGUCUUUAACCAAUCUCCUUUCCAAUUGUUUUACUUUGUACUCCAAGAUUUCCACAACUCAAUUUACUUUCCGCCAACUUACAGACCUUGUUCGACUUGCAGUGCCCUUAAGGGUUUUCACCGACAAACCUCUCUCAUUUGUUAAUUCCUCGAUUCCUUGUCGCCUCAUGGUGACUGAUAUCGGUUGUGGACGUUCGACCAGGUUACAUCGGGAUACUCGAUUAGGUUCUCUUUCAGCUACCUCGGGUCCACUCAGCUCCAUUCAUUCAGGCCUUGAGUGAAGGCCUACACUGCCUAGUCGUCGGAGACCAGGGGUAGUUCCAUUUGUUCCGUUUGGAAGCGAGAUAUGAACUCUCGCAACAUCUCGUUCUCUCUUUUAUUGAUCUUGAACACAUCAGACUUUGUCGUUUCUACUUUGAUGGCAUUGGCGUGUGUCUUUAUGAAGGAGUCUACCAGCAUGGCAAACGAGUCUAUGAAGUUGGGGGCUAGGUUUUGAUACCACAUCAUGUCCCCCUUCGAGAGCGUUUCCCCGAACUUCUUAAAUAAGAUGGACUAGAUCUCAUCGUAUUUUGUGUCAUUUCCCUUUACCGCGCACGUGUAGGCGGUAACAUGCUCGUUGGGAUCUGAGGUCCCGUUGUACUUUGGGAGUUCCGACAUUCUGAACUUCUUUGGAAUGUGUUUGAGAGCCGCUUCCUCUGGGAACGGCCGUUGCACGAAAUUCUUUGAAUCUAUGCCUUUCAGGACCGGAGGUGUGCCCGGGAUUUGGUCAACCCUAGAGUUGUAGGUCUCAACCUUCUUGUCGUUGUCCGCUAUCAUUUUCUCACCCGACUCGAUCCUUUUGGUGAGGUCCUCGAGCAUUUUUACGAUGGCAGGAUCGGCUAUCAAUCCAUUAUUGCUCGAUCUCUCCGGUAUCUAUUCGACUGGGAGAGCUGUUCUCGGUGCUAUUGUGCAAGGAGUUUUGGGUGGCUUUGCAGAUGAGUGAUAGCCUGCUAUUGUGCCUGCAAAAUUUCAAAAAUAACAUGAAGGCUAACCUCUCGUUCUUCCCGAGCUGGGGUUUUUUGGGCUUCUUGUUGGUCGCCUUAUUAUAUGCUCUUGUCGGUGCAUGAGGUUUCAUCAACCUGCUGUUCAUCGCACAUAACCGCGUCCGCUGGGAUCGGUCCAAGUGCGUUCUCGGGGUUCCAUGGUGGCGCACCAACAAUCGGAACAGCCAUACCAUUUUCUCCGUGGUUUUCAAGGUUAUCAUUUUUGACUCUAUUUACUGAGCCAGACAUUUUGACCUGAGAUCAAAGAUCUUGGACAAGAAAAAGUGUGAAAGAUAACUUGUAUUGUGUAAAGAAACCAGCAAGAAAAUAAUCACUAUUAUUUUUAGCCCCAGGAUGGGCGCCAAACUAUUUACCGUGAAAAUGGUAAUAACAAUUAAAUUUGUUGAUGGGACUCCAAAAGUACGUGAUCUAUUUUUAUGCUAGUUGUUAAGCAGUUGAUGCUAGGUGUAUGAAGUUUAGAGAUGGAAUGCGAGCUAAAACAAAGUUGUAAUCAAACUGAUAAACUAGACGGGUAGGGUCUCGGACUGACUGAUACGGGGCCUCGGGGCCUAUUCCUGGGCUCAGGCUUGAGCUAUUAUGGGUAAUCAGGGAAUUUCUAAUAGUUAUAAAACAAUCAGCGAAGGCUCUUUAUGGGCAAUGAUAACAAUAAAUGAAGAACAAGUAUGAAAAUAAUAAAUAAGAGCAAUGGUAUCGAGAGAGUAUAAUAUCGAGAGAGUAUGUUAGAGAGAAGAGAGAGAGAGUUCUUGUAUAUUUCGUGUAGAAUAGUUGGAGCAACAACAAUUGUUUACAAAGUGUCAAAGACCCCCUUUAUAUAGGAGGGAAAUCUCAACAAAGUACAAGAAGCAUUAAUUAUAAAGAUAGGGAGAUGGGACAACUAGAUGUGACAUCCUGAUUUGGGUUCAGAGUAGGUCGGCUAGGCUUUGUUAGACUUAGCUGUGUGUCUUGGGAGCUCCCCGUCUUUACCCUUGCCACGGUCAAUCUUGCCUCGAGGCCGGGCGUCGACAUGCCUCGAGGGAGGGAACUCGGUCACAGCUUUGCGGCCUCGAGGCUUCGAGAUAAUCUUCUGGAAUGCCUUAAUGAAGGGAAAUUGGAACCUCCAAUUUCACCGUAUAUAGGCAUCAUCACCAGUCCCGAAGUGGUACCCAACCUCGAGGAUCUCCAUAAAAAAGAAGUUAGGCUUUAAGAAGCUAACGACAUCAUCUCCAGUCCCGAGGUGGUACCCAACCUCGAUGACCUCCGCCAAAAGGAAGUUAGGCCCCAGGGAUCCAUUAGCAUCAUCUCCAAUCCCGAGGUGGUACCCGACCUCAAGGAUCUCCAUCAAAAAGAAGUUAGGCUUUAAGAAGCCAAGGACAUCAUCUCUAGUCCCAAGGUGGUACCCAACCUCGAGGACCUCCGCCAAAAGGAAGUUAGGUCUAGGGAUCCAUUGGUAUCAUCGCAAGUCCCAAGACUGAUCUCGAGGACCUCCUUCAAAAAAUAAGUUUGGCUCCGGGAGGCCUUAAACAUCAUUGCAAGAUUCGAUAUGGCACCCGGUUUCAAAGGCUCCUCUCAAGAAGAAAAAUAAGCACUUCAAGCUCCGUCCAUAAGGGUUCGACCUCAGGAUAUCAUCUAAAUCCGGGCAGUCCCUCAUCUGGAAAGUAUCUACAACGCCUUAAGGUUAUAUACAUUAAGUUCAAGACAAGUCUCCUGACACCCCGAGUUAACCCUAUCUUGGGGGCUGCUCUCGAAAGCCUAAAGGCAGUCUCCAUUCUUGAGUGUCCGAGUGAAUUUCCCCUCAAAGACUACUGCAAGGUCUAAGUGAUAAAUCACGGUCUCAAGGCUCGAAGCGUUACUUCCAUUCAUCUUAAAGUAAGGGUCCCGACAAUGCGAGUUUAUCGGACCAAUCCAGUUUUUGCCCGAGAAAUGGAAAAGGACUCCGCUGGAAGCCGUUUUUAUCAACCGAAGGUUAGAAAGAAUACUCGCACCCGGGUUCGAUAUUGGCAAUAGCCAAUAGAGUCAUAUAUUCAGAGUAUCCACAAACACAAGUGAAAGAGAAUAUAGCAAGCAUCGAAGACAAAAAUUGAAGGAACAACUUUAUAUUCAUUAACAUUUGGUUACAACAGCCCGCGAGGGGUCCUUACAUAAGAUUACAAAAGCCCAUGAGGUGUCCUUACACAAAAACAAAGAAGCUAAAGGGUACACAUAUAGUAAAAGCCUAGAGCCUAGUCUACUCUCGAAGGUGCAUCCUCGACAAUAGCAUCUUCGAGCAUCGUCUCCUCGAACAUGCAUCCUUGACGGUGAUAUCUUUGACCACCACCUCCUCUAGUUUCCCAUCUCGAUCCCACAGAAUAAUAUCUAUGAGGGAGAAGAUGAAGAAGAGGAAAGAAAAUGAGACAUAGCCCGCCGAAGCCAAAGGUUGAAGAUUCAGCGGGCAUCAACCCUACUUGCACGACCGCUCCAAGUACACAUUCCGGGACAUCGUACCGUGCAAGUUCAGCGGCCGGUUGUGCCAUUUUAUCCCUUGAGAAAAAUCUUUAGGGAUGAAGUGCCACACCAGGCUAGGGUAGGAGAGUGAGCAGUAGUGUAUAGUCCGAACACUCUCCUGAGCAGUGGUGUAGAGUCCAAACGUCCUUCUAAAUCAAAAGAAGUCGGCCCCCCUGUAUCAUUACCUCAAGACAACAACGACAGCAGUAGCAGUCAUAACAAUAAUAGUUGCGACAAGACAGUAUAGUCUCGUUCGGCAAGGGGAAGCUCAGAUAGAAGGCCAUCACGCAGCUGAUGAAAAUGCUACCAUGCAACCUUAAGGUCGUGAACCCCAAACAUGGUGGUUAGAAAUGGAGGAGGAUAGUGAGGAGAGAAGAAUGGAUAGAUAUUGAAAGGCACUUGGGUAAGACAAUAGCACCGGAAGGCCCCCCUUUAUAGGGGGAGAUAGUAUGGCCAGCAACACCAUUAAUGCCUUUGAAAGAUGGGUCGGUAGACGCAAUCAAUGCGUCAUUGAAAACUGAAUCGAUGGCGAUAUUAUAGCCUUGAAGAAUGGGAAUCGGCAACACAUUGAAUGACGUUGAAAGACAAGUCCAUGGGAUGCCCCGGUUAUCGUGAAGGCUUACGUCAUAAGUAUGAUGUCAUCAACGUGACAUUAUCACGAGAAGUCCGAAGAAUUGGAUGUCAAGGUCGUUUCUUGUCGCUCCUCUCUAAGAAACGCGGGGACUAUCUGUAUACGGCGAAUUCGAAGGGUCCAAUUUCUCGUCAUUAAGGCAUUUCAGAAGAUCAUCUUGAAGCCUCGAGGCUACAAGGCUGUGGUUGAGCUUCCUUCUUCGAGGUUCGUCGACGCCCGACCUAAGGACAUUGUUGGCCGCGACCAUGAUGGAAAUGGGGAAUUCCCAAGGCAUAGUGUCAUCCAGUUGUCCCAUCUCCAUAUCUUUGUCAUUAAUGUAUUUUGUACUAUGUUAGCAUUUCCCUCCAAUAUAAAGGGGAUCCUUGUCACUUUGUAAACCUCUGUUGCUUCAGUUACUCUACACGAAAUAUACAAGAACAUUCUCUUUGCUCUCUAACAUAGUCUCUUGAUAUUAUUGCUUUUAUUUACUAUCUUUCCAUUUAUUCAUCAUUUAUUUCUUAUCAUUGGCCAUAAAAAGCCUUCGUUGAUUUUAUUAUAACUGUUAGCCGCACCUUGAUCACCCUUGAUAGCUCACAUCUGAGCCCCGGAAUCGACCUCGUGGCCCCCGAAUCGACAAGCUCGAGGACUCGGUUGACAGCCUAUCGAUUUGAUUAUCGCCUCAUCCUUAACUCUUAUUUUGUUUCUAAAUCUCGUAUAAAUAGAACCAACUGCUUAACAACUAGUAUAAAAAUAGAUCACGUACUUUUAGAGUCACAUCAUUAAAUUUAAUUGUUAUUACCAUUUUCACGGUAAACACAUAUGGUUGUUUCUUCAAUUAUGUGAUUAAUUUCUUAAUAGUCUGGCCAACAGUUAUGUUCUACUUACUAUCUACUCUAUGCUUGGGAAAGCCAUAUUUAGAUUAGAGAAGAAUAGAAGACAUCAUGAUCUUAACUCUAGGGGAAGGGGGAUCGGGGAGGGGCAGAUUUGUGGUUAGGUUAAGAAUAUACCUAGUCGCCGUACUUAAUUAAUAAUCAUAAUAUUAAUGCGUUGUUAAGAGAUUGAUUCUAUCAUGAUCCAAUUUCUUCUAUAUCGCCACGAUAGUGCCCAACGUUACCGCUAGGCAAGCCUACAGUGUAAUAACUCUGGGAUCCUUACUUUUAGUGAUUUAAAAUAGUUGAUUUUUUGUUUGUGCAUAAAUAAGAAGUAAGAAUUUAAGAGAUCAAGAUUUUUAAAGCAAGUGAAAUAAGCAUAAUAACCCAAAACUAUCAUGUGUCUACUAGCACCAACCACCAAGACCUGGUGUCACAAGUGUAUGAGAAACUAGCAGAAUAUACAAAAGAAUACUAGUCUACUGUCUGAAGUGAAAUAGACAGAAAAUACAAGAAAAAUAAAGACUCCUGCUGCUGCAAAACGGGCUCAGAAGGGUAGCUCACUGUGAAGUCUCGGGACCCAGGGGAUGCGCGCUAGACUGAUAUCCAGAUGCACCUGCCUUAGAUCCUGCACAUUUUGUACAGAAGUGUAGCGUGAGUACAUAAAUAACAUGUACCCAGUAAAUAUCCAGUCUAACCUCGAAGAAGUAGUGACGAGGGGUCAUCUUUGACACAUACUAUGGGCUAACAAUAAAAUAUCGAAAUUAUAAUUAAGCAUGGAUUACCUAAAUAUAGCUGAAAACACAAUAACAAGAAAUAAUAGGCAAUCCUUUUACUAAUAAUAAAUCCCAAAUGUAUUUUCAUCAUUUAACAAUUUAAAUAUCAAGCCAAUGAAGCAAUAUCAAUUAUAAUUGGUUCCAAAGAUUUAUUAUGUGUAAUUAAUGCUGAGGUCGUACAGUCCGAUCCAAUAUAAGGUAUUUAAACUAUGCACUGCCAAGGGUCGAACAUCACGAACCAUAGAUGAAUCUAUCUGCUAUAGAGGCAUUCGGCCCGCUCUACAAAAAUAGAAAAUAUUUAAUAACAGCCGAUUUAAGAUUUAUUAAGAGACUAAUAGUUAAAAAAAUACCAAUUCUCAAUAACAGUCAAGUGGCCCGUCCAAGAAUUUAAGUAAAUGAUUUAACCUUUUACCAUUUCUUUAUCAAGUUACAACUUGAUUUAAGCAAUUAAAUUAACGAGAAGGGUGCAAACAUUAUAAAUAUAGCAUGGUAUAAGUCCUAGACUAUCCGGACAUAAGCAUAAUUAGUAGCUAAGUACAGACUCUCAUCACCUCGUGCGUACGUAGAGCCCACAAAUAGAAGCACAUAUUAAUCAAUUCACCUAUGGGGUUAAUUCCCUCUUACAAGAUUAGAAAAAAGACUUACCUCGUCUCAAAGCCUACUUUCGAUCCAAGAUUGUGCUCAAACACUCAAUUCGGUGCCGAUUAAUCCAAAUCUAGUCUAAUGGUAUAUAAAUUAAUCAAUACAUGUUCAAAAGUUCCUAUCUUAACUAUCAAAGUGAUUUCCCAAUCCUAUUUGAAGAUUCCCUCAAAUUCUCCCCGGGGUCCACGUGCCCGGAUUCCGAAAAUUUUCAAAGAAAGUUGUUACUCAUAACCUUAUGAACCCAAAUAUACGAUUUUACUAAAUCACAUAACAAGUUUCGUGGUUAAAUCUCUUUUUUGUCAAAGACCUAUGUUUUUUAUCUAACCCAUAAAUUCUACAAAUUUACAUAUUAAAAUCUACCCAUAAUCUAUGUAUUAAACUAACAUUAAGUAGAAAUUACUUACCCUCAAUAGCUAGGUUGGAAUCUCCCUUUUUGAAGCUCUAAAAUCGCCAAGUGUGUGAAAAAAUGAGAGGAAAGGGCCUAUGUCCCGUAUUUAAAAACCAGAUUUUACCCAACAGAACCCCCUCCUUCGCAAACGCAGAAGAAGCCUCACAUUCGUGAAGGUCUGAGCUGCCUUGGCAUCACAAACGCAGCAGCACCUAAGCAAAUGCGAAGGACAAAGUGCACUGACCCCUCCCCGGUCCCUUUCCUCUAUGCGAACGAGAGAGGAUUUUCGCGAACGCGUAGGACCCGGGGCUGAUUAAUUAGGUUAAGGAAAAUAUGAGGCGACCCUAUUAAAGAGAGCAUUAAGGAUACAUCGACUCUCUUGGAUUUCACGUCAUAGCAUAUAUAUACCCGGACUGAGCAUAUCCAAGAAAGACACAAGUGGUCGCCUUGGGGACAAUUUUGCUCUUAACUGCGCAGGAAUAUGAACAAAACACGUGCAUCCAAACACUCGCAAAUGCCUAUUAUAGUGCAAGGCUUCACGAAUGCGAGAACCUGACCGCAAACGCGAAGAGCAAUUAAUAACUGUCCCCAAAUCCAUCUUCGCGAGAUGGAUGGCCCUCCCGCGUUCGCAAAGAAGGAAACAAGAACUGGAAAAUCUGGUUUCCUCAACUUAGUUUCGGGCAGUCCGAAACACACCCAAGCCCCUUGGGACUCCAUCCAACUACAGAAACAAAUCUAUAAACUUAAUAUGGACUCGCUCAAACUCUCGAAAUGUGUAAAACAACAACAAAAGCAAGAAUCACAUCCCAAAACCAAAUUGAAUCAAAAUAUUAACUUCAAGUUUCCAAAUCGCUCCGAACGUGCCGAAUAAUACUUAGUCUACUUGGGAUGACACUAAAUUUUGCAUGCAAAUCUUAAAUCACCAAACAGAACUAUUCUCGAUCAUAAAAUCUCAUUUGGAUCUCGAUAUCACCAAAACCUACUCCAAACCAAAUUUAAAGAACAUCAAAAACCUUCAAAGAACCAACUUUCACUAUUAGGCGCCGAAACGCUCCCGGGUCAUCAAAAAUACGAUCUGAAUAUACGCCCAAGUUUGAAAUCAUCAUACAAACCUAUUGGAAUUGUCAAAUCCUAAUUUUGAGGUCGUUUACUCAAAACAUUGACUGAAGUCAAACUUAGCCUUUAUAGCCAACCUUAAGGAACCAAGUCUUCCGAUUUCAACCCGAACCCUUCAAAAUCCUGAACUAACCAUCCCCGCAAGUCAUAAAAUAAUAAAACCACAUACGAGGAGUCUUAUUUACCGGAACAUGGUUCUAUAAAGUAAAAUGAAUGGUCGGAUCGGUAUAUAUUCCAUGGGAAUAUAGGCGUUAAUCUAUUUUGUAUAGGCGAGUAGUACUUCGGGAGAAGGCUACGAGUACAAUUGUUCGAUUAACUAGCAACCAUGAGUGAAUUGUAUGAAAGUGAAUGUUAAUUAGAACAUUAUAGGAAUGGUGAAUCAACUACAAUCCUAGAAUAUUCGUCUCUACUGAAUACACAACAACCAUUUUGAUGUUUGAUAAUUUAGUUACUUGUUAGAAUUAUUACGUAGUAUAACCACACUUUUGAACACUGAAAUACUUGACUGAAUAAUAAUCCUAGUGAAACUAGCUGGUAGUUAACACAAGUUUCUAUGGGUUCGUCAAUCGACUUAUCAUUUUAUUACAUGUAUGACCAUGUAUACUUACGUGUGCUUUGGGGAGCAACAUGUUUUUGGAACCGUUGUCGGGGGCUUAAUAUUGACCGCUUUCUAGUUUUUGCUUUAAUUAUUUAUUUAGUCAAGUCUAAUGUUUCUUUUUGGUUGCUCUUAUCUCAGGAACUUUCAUUGAAUGUGAAGGGUCAGAAGCCAGGAUAUACUUCAAAGUUUUGACCCCUAACUUGAGAGAACAUUUCACAUGAGGUUGAGGGAAGCAAGGAACACAAAUAAUGUUCAGGAACUUAUUCAAUUUACUGUGUACAUGGAAGAGGAGCAACAUAUGGUUGUUCAAGAGGUGGAUAUGCCCAGUAUUGCCAAUGUCACCUCUAGCAUUGUGAAGCCCAGAAUCACUGGGCACUUUGAGCUAAAAUACAACAUGAUCCAACUACUACAUGCGAAUGGGCAGUUUUUGGGUCUUCCACACGAGGAUCCAAAACAGCACAUCCAGAACUUCUUAGAGAUUAGUAAUACUUAUAUUAGUAGCAGAGUCACUCCAAACUAUGUGAGGCUCACACAGUUCCCAUUCUCUUUAUUAGGUGAAGCAAACCAGUGGUUGGAGGCAGAACCAACUAAUUCUAUAACAUUGUGGAAUGAUCUAGCGAGAAAGGUUUUUGCAAGUUUCUUUCCUUUGGGAAAACUACAAAGAUCAGAAGUGAGAUAGUCGCUUUCAAACAGAAAUUGGGGGAAUCUUUAUACACAGCUUGGGAAAGGUUUAAGAGGCUGCUCAGAGAUUGUCCUCAUCACAAUCAAACAAAUGAAGUGUUAGCUCAUACUUUCAUACAAGACCUAUAUCUUGAGACAAAAAUUGUGGUGGAUGCUGCAGCGGGAGGCCAAGUGUUGGAGAAAAGCUUCGAUGAAAUAUAUGCAUUAUUGAACAAACUCUCUAAAAGCAAUCCUGAUUGGCAAGGAGAUAUGGGUAGACACACAGUGCAAAAAUCUAUAAGGGUUCUCGAAUUAGGUAUCAUCUCUGCAUUAUCAACGCAGAUUGGUACACUGGCCAACCAAGUCAAUCAGAUGACCUUGGUUAUUAACAAACAACAAGCUCAGCUGGUGCAACAGGUUCAAAUAUUUUGUAAAGUAUGUGGAGAGGGUCACCCGAGCGACUUAUUCACGGUUAAUCCACAGUCUGUAUAUUUUUGGGGUAAUGCAAAUAAGGGCCAAAAAAUAGUAUGGGAACACUUACAAUCCAAACUGGAAGAACCAUCUAAACUUCUCUUGGGGUGGAAACCAAGGUACUCAGAAUCAAUAUAGGCCAUAAGCCCCUCAAUAGCACUAUAGACCACCUAAGUCUGAACAACUUACAAACCCGACGAGUCACCUUGAGGAGAUGAUGAAGAAAUUAAUGGCUAACCAGCAAGCUCAAGCAGCAGCCCAUGCUGCAGCGAUUCAAAAUUUUUAGCGAAAAAUGGGGCAACUUGCUAGUGCCUAAAAUACUUGACCAGUUGGAGCUCUUCCAAGCGACACUGAGGCUAAACCUAAGGAAUCUAUUAAUGUUCUGUCAUUGAGAAAUAGGAGACAGUUAGAAGAAGUCUAGUAAAAAAAGAGGAAGCACGUGACCUUUCAUGAGGAACCGGCCACCAUAGAGGCAGAAUCAGAAAAAUCAAACGGGAGUCAGAGAAGCCAGCUGAUGAGGUGGUGGUUAAGAAACCCCCACCAUUAGUUGCAAGGCCACCACCUCAGUUUCCUCAGAGAUUGCAUAAAGUGAAGGAUAAUGCAGCCUAUAAAAAGUUUUUUGAUAUUUUAAAGCAGGUGCAAAUCAACAUUUCACUGGUAGACAUCCUGCAAGAAGUGUCCAAAUAUGCCAAAUACAUCAAGGACAUAGUGAAACAUAAGAGGAGGUUGACAGAGUUUGAGAUUGUGGCACUCACUAAAGAAUGUAGCUCAAGAACUCAAAGCAUACUACCUCAAAAAUUAAAAGAUCUAGGUAGUUUCACUAUCCAAAUCUCGAUUGGUAAGCAUGAAGUCAGGCGAGAUUUGUGUGAUCUUGGGGAAAGCAUCAAUUUGAUGCCGUUAUCUGUGUUCAGACAAUUGGGGUUGGGCGAAGCGUGCUCAACCACGGUAAUUUUUUAGUUAGCUGAUCGCUCCGUUGCUCAUCUUGAAGGAGUGAUUGAUGAUGUGCUAGUUUAAGUGGGUUCUUUAAUAUUCCCUACUAAUUUCAUUAUCUUGGACUAUGAGUCUGAUCAGGAAGUCCCAUUUAUUCUGGGGCAUCCAUUCUUAGCCAUGGCCAGAGUUAUUAGUGAUGUAUGCAAAGGGAAGAUGACGAUGAUAGUAGGCGAUCGAGUGAAGGUAUUUAAUUAGUAUAAAGCAUUUCGAUUGCCAAUCUAAUAUGAAGAGUUAUCCAUGAUUUCUGUGGUGGAAAGUGAUGUGACAUCAUUGGUUCUUUAUAUGAGCCCCAUAGAUCCUCUAGAAUUAGCCUUGAUUAGGGAUGAAGAAGACAGUGAAGAUGAGAUGAUGGAAGAAAUUGAGCAAUUACUUGACAUAUAAUGUAAUUAUAUCAAUGGGUUUGAUUUCGAGGAGUUGGACAUGCCUAUUACUUUGACCCCUCCUAAGCCAUCUAUUGAAGAAGCUCCAAAGUUAUAUCUUAAGCCUCUUCUAGUGCAUUAGCACUUUGGUUAUUUGGGGAACUUUGAGACAUUACCAAUGAUUAUAUCAUCUAGCUUGACCAAUAUGCAAUAAGAAAAAUUUCUCAGAGUACUUCGUGAGCAUAAGAAGGCUAUUGGGUGGACAACUGCUGACAUCAAGAGAAUCAGUCCAUCUUUUUGCAUGCAUAAAAUCUUUCUGGAAGAUGGACACCACCCCAGUGUUGAGCAACAAAGGAGAUUAAAUACCAUUAUGAAAGAGAUCGUUAAGAAGAAAGUAAUUAAGUGGCUCGAUGCAGGUAUCAUCUUUCCUAUUUCUAACAGCAACUAGGUAAGCCAAGUGCAAUAUAUGCCUAAAAAGGGGAGAUGACCGUGGUAGAGAACGAGAAAAAUGAGCUAAUUCCUACUCUCACCUUGAUGUGGUAGAGAGCUUACUUUGAUUAUAGAAAGCUCAACAAGGCAACCCACCAGGACCACUUCCCACUUCCAUUCAUUGAUCAAAUAUUUGACAGAUUGGCAGGGCAUGAAUAUUAUUUCUUCCUUGAUAGUUACUUGGGGUGCAACCAGAUUGUUAUAUGCACAGAGGAUCAGAAGAAGACCAUUUUUACUUGUGCUUAUAGAAUGUUUACUUUCAAGCGAAUGUCGUCCAUUCAUUGACCAAAUGUUGGACAGAUUGGCGGGGCAUGAAUAUUAUUUCUUCCUUGAUGGUUACUCGGGGUACAACCGAAUUGUUAUAUGCCUAGAGGAUCAGGAGAAGACCCCUUCUACCUGUCCUUAUGGAAUGUUCGCUUUCAAGCGAAUGUCAUUUGGUCUUUAUAUUGCACUAGCCACUUUCUAGAGGUGCAUGAUGGCUAUUUUCAUAGAUACAGUGGAAAUAAUUGUGGAAGUAUUCAUGGAUGAUUUUUCAGUCUUAGGGUCUUCUUAUGAUGAUUGUUUGAAGAAUUUGAGCAAGGUGUUGGCCCAUUGUGAAGAAACAAAUCUGGUGUUAAAUUGGGAAAAGUGCCAUUUUAUUGUACAAGAAGACAUCGUGUUGAGCCAGAGAGUGUCAAGGAGUUGCAUUGAUGUUUAUAAGCGAAGGUGGAGGCAGUUGAAAAAUUACCUCCACCCAUUUUUGUAAAGGGUAUCCGGAGUUUCUUGGGACACAGAGGAUUCUAUAGAUGAUUUAUUAAGGAAUUUUCAAAAAUAUCUACUCCUUUUGUGUAGGUUGCAUGAAAAGGAUGUAACUUUCAAUUUUGAUGAAGCCUGUCUGAAGGCAUUUGAGGAGCUCAAAAAGAAGUUUGUCGCUACUCCCAUUAUUGCGGUACUGGAUUGGUCCUUACCAUUUGAACUUUUGUCCGAUGCGAGUGACCAUGCUAUAGAGUCAGUGCUAGGCCAGAGGAAGGACAAGAUGUUUUACUUCAUCUACCAUGUGAGUAAGACUCUUGAUGAUGCACAACUAAAUUACACUACCACUAAAAAAGAGUUGUUGGUUGUUAUGUGGGCCUUUGAGAAAUUUCAGGCAUACUUGGUGGGAACAAAAGUCAUAGUCCAUACUGAUCAUACAACAAUCAGGUAUCUAUUUACAAAAAAAGAAUCCAAGGCUAUAUUGAUGCGCUGGGUUUUAUUGUUGCGAGAAUUUGAUGUAGAAAUACAAGAUCGGAAG
Molecule: long non-coding RNA, 39991 nt
Filed under: Nicotiana tabacum (common tobacco)
Lineage: Eukaryota; Viridiplantae; Streptophyta; Magnoliopsida; Solanales; Solanaceae
Description: long non-coding RNA (NTAB_LNC017650)
Source: RNAcentral